UGGGGAAUUUUGGACAAAGGGGGAAACCCUGAUCCAGCCAUUCCGCGUGAGUGAAGAAGGCCUUCGGGUUGUAAAGCUCUUUUGUCCGGAACGAAACGGUGGACGUGAAUAUCGUCCAUUACUGACGGUACCGGAAGAAUAAGCACCGGCUAACUACGUGCCAGCAGCCGCGGUAAUACGUAGGGUGCGAGCGUUAAUCGGAAUUACUGGGCGUAAAGCGUGCGCAGGCGGUUUUGUAAGCCAGAUGUGAAAUCCCCGGGCUUAACCUGGGAAUGGCAUUUGGGACUGCAAGGCUGGAGUUUGGCAGAGGAGACUGGAAUUCCUGGUGUAGCAGUGAAAUGCGUAGAUAUCAGGAGGAAUACCGAUGGCGAAGGCAGGUCUCUGGGCUAUAACUGACGCUCAUGCACGAAAGCGUGGGGAGCAAA
RNAcentral lists this ribosomal RNA (425 nucleotides) under uncultured bacterium. Its description in RNAcentral is "bacterial SSU rRNA". It matches the Rfam family "Bacterial small subunit ribosomal RNA", at positions 355 to 772 of the family's 1533-position model. The record is from RNAcentral.